UAUCCUCUCUGGUGUGCAUGUCAUACCCAGAUUUAUUUACCCAGACAACAAACCCCUCUCUCCAUCGCUUUGUCGCUAUCCAUGGUCCCAUCUCCAUGUCGCUUGUUGUCCACCACCGAAAAUUCAAGAACCUAGGAGAUCCAUUUCGCCAAAACUCAAAUCGACAUCUAAAUCUUCUUCUCCCAGACACACGAGACCGCCGUUUUUCUCCCAAUGUUCUAAGUUUGAAGUGUUUUUCUUCAAAUUUUUAUUUUAUUUUUAUAUAAAUUUGGUUUUGAAUUUACAGGUACUUUCCUCCAACAGCCCCUCCACCUACACAUUUGCACUCCGCAGCCUCCAAUUUGGGUUUGAUUUUUCUAAGUUUAUAUGUAUUUGUGCCUAGCUUUAUUAUUCUGUGAUUGGGGAUUUUUUAACUUGAUUUAUUAUUACAUAUGGAGGAUUUUUUAAUCAGUUUUCUAUUUGCUUUUUAUUUUUCAGUAUUUUUCUUUUUGCUGUGAAUCUGUAGGAUGAAAUUAUUUUUCUGGGAUGCUUCUGUUUUCUUGUUGUUUAAAGGUAAAAUCUUUCUGAAUAAGAAAAGAAGGUUUAGUAAUUUUGGGCUUUGUAGAUGCUUUGAAAUUGAACCAUACAUAAUUGUUUAAGCCAUCACGUUAUACUCUGCAGUCAAUUCCAAGAGCUAUCAUUUAUGUUUUAUGGAGAAGCGAUUUUAUUAUGUGAGGUUCUCUUUGAAUCCAGAGCAGUGAGUGCUCUGUACUUAAGUAGUUUUAAAAAUUAAAAAUAUAAGCUAUUGUUUAUUGGAUAUUAGGAUAUUAAUGCUCUCAAUUGUAAUGUUUAUCUUUUAGCUGCUCUGCAUUGUAAUCUUACACGUCCUAGAGGCUUAUCUCCUCAUGUUGCUUGUGUAUACCAAUCCUUGCAUCACUCAUACAAAAAUCAAUGAUUCAAUCAAUUUUUACUAAUGAUGGAACUUGUGCUUUAUGAUUAUAUUUGGCUUUUGGGAUCACUAUCUAAUCCAUAGUUUGUAAUACACUUCAAUAUAUAUAUUUAUUUUAUAUAUAUUUUUUUUUGUGUUUUUGGUCUUCGACAUUUGGAUCUUUCUGAAUGUUUGGUUAAUUCAUUUUUUUAUAUUAAUUUUCAAUUACAGGUUGGUACUUGGUUGCUUGACGUCUAACCCUUUUAUUAGCUCAUAUGAGGAAUUGGGUGCGUGUUGUGUUCUCUUUGUUGUGAUGGACUUUUGUUUGAAAUUUUUGUUGAAGUUCUUGUUUCACUAAAGUCUACUUGCUUUGCUUUUUAAAUGGGAUUGAGUAUUUUGGGUUUCAUUGUUUUAUUUAGGAAUGGUCUCUUCGUGUAUGGUUAGGUACACUAAUAUGGAAACAAUGGUCCAAAGAUCCAAAUAGCCUGGGUAGCAAAUAACUUUUGUCAAUCCAUUUCUGUCCUUUGCAGGUCGCUCAUGCUAUUCGUUAGAUCACCACCUAUAUUUCCAAAUGCAGUGACAAAUAUAUACAGGUUAAGUGAUUUAAUAACUUAAAUAAGUGUUAAUAUGCCCACCUUUAAGUGUAUUAUAGGAAUUGUAUCAGCACUUUUUUUCUUGUUAUAAUGUCUUUUUUUGUAAGUUAUAAACUUAUAUAUGCAUUCGAACAAUAUUUGGGUUACCUAAUCUUUUUUAUUGAGUGAAACAGUUUUUGAUAGGUAUGUUAGAAUUGAUUCCUUCCCAAAUCUACAGUGGUAAGUAAUGGCGCCCAAUGAAUUAUCAAAUCUGAGGCACCAAGUAUUUAAAAAAAAUUUAGACUAAUAUUAAUCUAGAGUAUUCCAAUUCAAUUUCCUCUGAAAGAGUUUUAAUUAUGGUGUUGGGAAUUUGUUAAUUUUUCUCUCUUUGUGUGAUUUGGUUGGGCUUGCAGAGUGACUUGGGUUUCUUUGUAUGCAUAUCCCGGACCUCUAGGUCACAUGGGGUACUCAGCAAGGUUCUACUUUUGCAAAGGAGAUGGAGAUGUUACAGACUUAUAGUGAUACUGCAAUCCAAAUAAUCUGUUUUGAAAAUCCAAAUAAUCUGUAGCAUUCAAGUCUUUGGUGAAUUUUUAAACGAAUAGGUUGCAAAUGCAACGCACUUAACUUACCAACCAAAUCCAUCUCUGACUAGCUAGAGUAUCUUGGUUGGGCACUCUAUCCGUUCCAAAGCCUAGUUUCCAAAGACGAAGUUGAGACAGGAGCAGCAUUUCACUCUCAAAUGACUUCGUUUGGAGGUCUUCAAGGAAAAGUGAAGUCUUUCAAUUGACAAAUUUCUUUGUUAGUAGAGGCCUAUUUGGUAUUUCAUGUGUAGUUUGAUAUUGACCUUAGCUUUGUUCAACUUGUAAUACAUUUUGACAAUAUGAUUACUUAUGAAUUUAUUGUAUUAUAGUAAA
Pyrus x bretschneideri (Chinese white pear) is the source of this 2393-nucleotide long non-coding RNA. RefSeq lists it as uncharacterized. The record is from RefSeq and is a predicted model, not a curated record. Lineage: Eukaryota; Viridiplantae; Streptophyta; Magnoliopsida; Rosales; Rosaceae. The transcript is spliced from 4 exons.